UCCCUUACUUGUACAGGGUGAGGAGAAAGAGAAGUUCCUGUCUGAUGUUGAUUCAAUGCUAAAGAUCAAGAAUCACAAGACUUCUUCAGCAACAUCUAAUGAUUGUAAGCUUGAGGUUGUGCCUGCUGCAACUGCUGACUCGAUGGAAAAUUCUGGAAAACAGGCAAUAUGUCAAGAAAGGUAUGUUAAAAAGUAUACUACAGGAAAUUGGUACGAUAAACACAGUGCUUCGCCCUCUUACCAUAAGUUCAGGCGGCCAGACAGUGCAUCGUCCUAUCAAGAGAAGUGUAUGGAAGACUGGAAAAGUGGUUCCCC
Pristis pectinata (smalltooth sawfish) is the source of this 315-nucleotide long non-coding RNA. RefSeq lists it as uncharacterized. The record is from RefSeq and is a predicted model, not a curated record. The transcript has 3 exons. Lineage: Eukaryota; Metazoa; Chordata; Chondrichthyes; Rhinopristiformes; Pristidae.